AUUGAUUGAUGUAAAUAGCAUAAAAAGACUGGGUCUCGCUGUAUUACUCAGGCUGCACUACAGUGUCUACUCUCGGGCGCGAACCCACUACUGAGCAGCACGGGGGCUUUGACCUGCUCCGUUUCCGACCUGGGCCGGUGCACCCCUCCUUAGACGACCUGGUGGUCCCGGGCUCCCCCCGGAGCACCAUAUCGAUACCGAACUUAGUGCGGACACCCGAUCGAUAUAGUCCACUGCAGCUCAGAGCUCCUGAGCUCAAACGAUCCGCCAGCCUCAGCCUCCCAGUGACUUGGAUUACAGGCACGCGCCACCGUACCCGGCAGCAGCUCCUUCACUCAUAGUGGUUUUGGGAGUUUUACAAAUGGAACGUAAUACGCGACGUCAUCAGGUAGGACGUUCCAACGGAAUUCUAAUCCACACUCCAUACCAGUUUAAACAUCAGAAAAAAGAAGACCGGAGCGUGAUCCUAAACACCACACUAAAGAAUUGAAGGUCAGCUCAUGCAGCCUCUGCUAAGAUGGAAACACCAGCAAUCAACAUCAUCUUACAGACCAAACAGGUGUCACCACUUGGUCGACCACAUCGUCCACGAUCGCAGAGACGACGUCGACGAUCGGAGAGACAUUGUUGAGGAUGAGGGAGACAUCGUCCUCGAUCGGAGAUAUUGUCCAGGAUUGCAGAGACCUUGUCAAAGACGAGAGAGACAUUGUCCCAUGCUUCGCAGAGCUCUGUGCAAGAAUCGGUAGAGACACUGUGGUUCCUCGAUUCGACGGCAUGACCGUGAUCAUGGUGACAUUGUCGUUGAUCUCAGAGACAUUGUCUGCGAUCACAGAGACAUUGUCGAUGAUCGCAGAGACUUUGUCCAUAAUCUCAGAGACAUUGUCCGCGAUCACAGACAUAGUCCACGAUCACAGAGAGUCUUCGUACAAUGAAUAAGUUCUUUGACACCAGGACAGAGGCCUCCAGGUGUCACCACUUGGUCCACAACAUCGUCCACGGUCGCAGAGACAUGGUCCAUGAUCGGAGAGACAUUGUUGAGGAUGAGGGAGACAUCGUCCUCGAUCAGAGACAUUGUCCAUGACUCGUGGUGACUCGGUCCCCGAUAAGUCGGCACUGCCGGCGUUCAGAGACACUGUUGAUGAUCGCAGAGACUUUGUCCAUAAUCUCAGAGACAUUGUCCGCGAUCACAGAGACGUAGUCCACGAUCACAGAGAGUCUUUGUACAAUUAAGAAGAUCUUUGACACCAGCACAGAGCCCUCCAGGUGUCACCACUUGGUCCACAACAUCGUCCACGAUCGGAGAGACAUUGUUGAGGAUGAGGGAGACAUCGUCCUCGAUCAGAGACAUUGUCCAUGACUCGUGGUGACUCGGUCCCCGAUAAGUCGGCACUGCCGGCGUUCAGAGACAUUGUCGAUGAUCGCAGAGACUUUGUCCAUAAUCUCAGAGACAUUGUCCGCGAUCACAGAGACGUAGUCCACGAUCAUGAAAAAUCUUUGUACAAUGAAGAAGUUCUUUGACAGAGGCCUCCAGGUGUCACCACUUGGUCCACCACAUCGUCCACGAUCGCCGAGACGACGUCCACGAUCGGAGAGACAUUGUUGAGGAUGAGGGAGACAUCGUCCUCGAUCGGAGAUAUUGUCCAGGAUUGCAGAGACCUUGUCAAAGACGAGAGAGACAUUGUCCCAUGCUUCGCAGAGCUCUGUGCAAGAAUCGGUAGAGACACUGUGGUUCCUCGAUUCGACGGCAUGACCGUGAUCAUGGUGACAUUGUCGUUGAUCUCAGAGACAUUGUCUGCGAUCACAGAGACAUUGUCGAUGAUCGCAGAGACUUUGUCCAUAAUCUCAGAGACAUUGUCCGCGAUCACAGACAUAGUCCACGAUCACAGAGAGUCUUCGUACAAUGAAUAAGUUCUUUGACACCAGGACAGAGCCCUCCAGGUGUCACCACUUGGUCCACAACAUUGUCCACGGUCGCAGAGACAUGGUCCAUGAUCGGAGAGACAUUGUUGAGGAUGAGGGAGACAUCGUCCUCGAUCAGGGACAUUGUCCAUGACUCGUGGUGACUCGGUCCCCGAUAAGUCGGCACUGCCGGCGUUCAGAGACACUGUCGAUGAUCGCAGAGACUUUGUCCAUAAUCUCAGAGACAUUGUCCGCGAUCACAGAGACGUAGUCCACGAUCACAGAGAGUCUUUGUACAAUUAAGAAGAUCUUUGACACCAGCACAGAGCCCUCCAGGUGUCACCACUUGGUCCACAACAUCGUCCACGAUCGGAGAGACAUUGUUGAGGAUGAGGGAGACAUCGUCCUCGAUCAGAGACAUUGUCCAUGACUCGUGGUGACUCGGUCCCCGAUAAGUCGGCACUGCCGGCGUUCAGAGACAUUGUCGAUGAUCGCAGAGACUUUGUCCAUAAUCUCAGAGACAUUGUCCGCGAUCACAGAGACGUAGUCCACGAUCAUAAAGAAUCUUUGUACAAUGAAGAAGUUCUUUGACAGAGGCCUCCAGGUGUCACCACUUGGUCCACCACAUCGUCCACGAUCGCCGAGACGACGUCCACGAUCGGAGAGACAUUGUUGAGGAUGAGGGAGACAUCGUCCUCGAUCGGAGAUAUUGUCCAGGAUUGCAGAGACCUUGUCAAAGACGAGAGAGACAUUGUCCCAUGCUUCGCAGAGCUCUGUGCAAGAAUCGGUAGAGACACUGUGGUUCCUCGAUUCGACGGCAUGACCGUGAUCAUGGUGACAUUGUCGUUGAUCUCAGAGACAUUGUCUGCGAUCACAGAGACACUGUCGAUGAUCGCAGAGACUUUGUCCAUAAUCUCAGAGACAUUGUCCGCGAUCACAGAGACGUAGUCCACGAUCACAGAGUCUUCGUACAAUGAAGAAGUUCUUUGACACCAGGACAGAGCCCUCCAGGUGUCACCACUUGGUCCACAACAUCGUCCACGGUCGCAGAGACAUGGUCCAUGAUCGGAGAGACAUUGUUGAGGAUGAGGGAGACAUCGUCCUCGAACAGAGACAUUGUCCAUGACUCGUGGUGACUCGGUCCCCGAUAAGUCGGCACUGCCGGCGUUCAGAGACAUUGUCGAUGAUCGCAGAGACUUUGUCCAUAAUCUCAGAGACAUUGUCCGCGAUCACAGAGACGUAGUCCACGAUCAUAAAGAAUCUUUGUACAAUGAAGAAGUUCUUUGACAG
Long non-coding RNA from Lates calcarifer (barramundi perch), 3189 nucleotides. RefSeq lists it as uncharacterized. NCBI's taxonomy places the organism in Eukaryota, Metazoa, Chordata, Actinopteri, Centropomidae. The transcript is spliced from 10 exons. The record is from RefSeq and is a predicted model, not a curated record.